Cherax quadricarinatus is the source of this 1556-nucleotide non-coding RNA. Lineage: Eukaryota; Metazoa; Arthropoda; Malacostraca; Decapoda; Parastacidae. The record is from RefSeq and is a predicted model, not a curated record.
UUAUAAAAACUUAUAUUGUCAGAUGCAGAAAUUGGCUUCUGAAAUGAAAGUGGGGCAGAAGAGAAAAAGACCCAACAUCAAGCUGGAACCAGGAACUGUGAGUGGCACUGUAAAUGUUCCAGUUCCUGUUCGAUAUCUCAGCAGAGUCAAACACUAUAUAAACACCCUAGAACUGCUGGAGAUCUGCAGGCAAGUCCAUCCAAGCAUUCUUUCAUUUCCAGAGGAAGAACAUUAUCAUUAGAAAUAACUUCACUCUUGGCAAGGCACUACUUUAAGUAACAGCUUUAGUGAUGCACCUUUAAUUUUUUUUUUGUUUAUAGUGGCAUUGGUAAGAUUAUUUUUUAUUCUACUUUAGCCUGGCUGGCUAAUAAUUGUAACUUUCUUUUAUAUUUGAAAUCACUUACAUACUGAAUAUGUAUUAUAUAAUGCAUGUACUGAAUAUGUAUUAUAUAAUGCAUGUUACCUACGAGCUAGGCAUUUUUUUCUAUAAAAUCUCCAUUUUUGUUUUACAUUUAAAACUAAUUUAUAGUGUAUGUAACAUUUAUUAAGUUACUGAUUCAUUUAAAGUACUGCAAGCCCUCACAUUUUUGCUAUUCUUAUAAUAAAAUAUAAUUCUGAGAGCUAUUUGCAUACUCUAUAAAACAGUUUGAGAGUAUCUAGGUCUUAGUUUUGUUACAGUGCCUCCUGCCUCUUUUUAUUGAGUCACAAUCAUAAUCUGAUCGACCCUUAUGGGAACUUGUCCGGUGCUGGUGCACCGGACAAGUUACCGUAAGAAAGGAGCACUGCUGGAGGCCUCCUGGCCCAAGCUAAGCAGGUCCCAGGUCCAACUCUCACCCACCCAUGUACUUGUCUAACUUAUUUUUAAAGCUAUACAAAGUUUCAGUGACGCUACUCACGAUUUUGUUCCACUCGUCCACAACUCUGCUAACCUAAUGUUUUCCUAUAUUCUUUCUAAAUCUAAAUUUUUCCAACAUUAACCUAUUGUAGAGAGUCCUGUGUUGGCUAAAUAUUUUUAGUACUAUAAUGGUAUCCCCUUUAUUCCUGUAUUUCAUUUAUGCACCUCAGUCGUAUCCCCACUAAUUCUGUGCUUUUCUAGAGAGUGGAGGUUCAGUGGGAGAAACGUCCGUCUCUCACUCGGCAGACGGAGGAUUGAGCCUCCACCAUAUCUUGCACUGAAUGAUUCAAAUGGGUUUAGUGCUUAACAUGAAUUAAACAACCUCCCACUUAUCCCUCAAAACAGUUCAGGACAGGCAUGACCACUUGUGACACUGACCUUGGAGAACUGUGAAGUUAUUUACUUAAUACUAUACACAAAACUGAGCCCAAAUUAAGAACUGUAUAGGAAUAGAACUAAAAUGUUAAUUUUUCUUUUAAAAAAAUCUGUACUCUCCUAAUUGUGAUUGCAGGGGUCGAGACUCGGCUCCUGGCCCUGCCUUUUCACUGAUUGCUACUAGGUCCUCUCUCUCUGCUUCCUGAGCUUUGUCAUACCUUGUCUUAAAGCUAUGUAUGGUUUCUGCCUCCACUACAUCACUUUCUAGGCUAUUCCACUUCCUGAC